CAUGCAAGUCGAACGGAAAGGCCCUUCGGGGUACUCGAGUGGCGAACGGGUGAGUAACACGUGGGUGAUCUGCCCUGCACUUUGGGAUAAGCCUGGGAAACUGGGUCUAAUACCGAAUACACCCUGCUGGUCGCAUGGCCUGGUGGGGGAAAGCUUUUGCGGUGUGGGAUGGGCCCGCGGCCUAUCAGCUUGUUGGUGGGGUGAUGGCCUACCAAGGCGACGACGGGUAGCCGGCCUGAGAGGGUGACCGGCCACACUGGGACUGAGAUACGGCCCAGACUCCUACGGGAGGCAGCAGUGGGGAAUAUUGCACAAUGGGCGCAAGCCUGAUGCAGCGACGCCGCGUGGGGGAUGACGGCCUUCGGGUUGUAAACUCCUUUCGCCAGGGACGAAGCGCAAGUGACGGUACCUGGAGAAGAAGGACCGGCCAACUACGUGCCAGCAGCCGCGGUAAUACGUAGGGUCCGAGCGUUGUCCGGAAUUACUGGGCGUAAAGAGCUCGUAGGUGGUUUGUCGCGUUGUCCGUGAAAACUCACAACUCAAUUGUGGGCGUGCGGGCGAUACGGGCAGACUGGAGUACUGCAGGGGAGACUGGAAUUCCUGGUGUAGCGGUGGAAUGCGCAGAUAUCAGGAGGAACACCGGUGGCGAAGGCGGGUCUCUGGGCAGUAACUGACGCUGAGGAGCGAAAGCGUGGGGAGCGAACAGGAUUAGAUACCCUGGUAGUCCACGCCGUAAACGGUGGG
RNAcentral lists this ribosomal RNA (744 nucleotides) under Mycobacterium sp. GR-10422. Its description in RNAcentral is "bacterial SSU rRNA". It matches the Rfam family "Bacterial small subunit ribosomal RNA", at positions 54 to 813 of the family's 1533-position model. The record is from RNAcentral. Lineage: Bacteria; Bacillati; Actinomycetota; Actinomycetes; Mycobacteriales; Mycobacteriaceae.